AAAUUGGGUAGAAAGGGAGUAAAUGUAGGUGCGUAGAUUGAAGAGAGAUGACAAGGGGAAAGCAAAAGAUAGAGGCCCAGCGGAAAAAUGCUGAGAAGAAUCAGAAAGGCAAAGGAUCUCAACUUGAAGCCCGUGCUGUUGGCCUCAAAGUCAUCUGUCCCAUUUGUAAGGCGCAGCUAGCAAAUCAAAACCAACUUGUUGAUCACUAUGGCUCCAAGCAUCCAAAGGAAAAGCCUCCAAGUAACUCGGAAUAACAUGUCCUGUUUCUUGGGAAAUUGCUUGCUUUUGUUCUCAAACCUUUGAAUUAGUAAAAACUCUGUUAAAAAAGCAGAGUCCAAGCUGAUGGUGGUUGCUUUGUGAAAUAGAAUGAACAUUAUGUGAAUACUGUAAACUAGAAAACAAUAAAAGUUCAAACACUGAUGUUUUGUUU
Lycium ferocissimum is the source of this 430-nucleotide long non-coding RNA. RefSeq lists it as uncharacterized. NCBI's taxonomy places the organism in Eukaryota, Viridiplantae, Streptophyta, Magnoliopsida, Solanales, Solanaceae. The transcript has 2 exons. The record is from RefSeq and is a predicted model, not a curated record.